Non-coding RNA from Pelodiscus sinensis (Chinese soft-shelled turtle), 1156 nucleotides. NCBI's taxonomy places the organism in Eukaryota, Metazoa, Chordata, Testudines, Trionychidae. The record is from RefSeq and is a predicted model, not a curated record.
GGCCACAUUGAUUAUGUGAGACAAGAAAAGUUUCUCAAGCCUUUUCUUCAGCUUUCUGAUUGAAUUUUAACUUGAGGUUUCGAGAAGCCCCUGAAAGCCCAUCUAGCCUUGCAACAACCCAAUGCUUUGCAUUACAAAAUUGAUGCUUCUGAGUGGGGCUGAACUGAUCAGGAUAUUAGUAAUGGAUAUGGAGCCUUUCACUGCUGGCUUGGUAUUGGUCCAAAUGCAGCCUGGUAUUGCAGUGAUUAAAAUUGUUAUCUAAUGGCCUAUGAGAAAUUAGUUUGAUGGUCUCAUCCAGUUCUCAGUAGACAAAAGUUUAAAUCACACACACACACAUACACACACACACACACACACACACACGUACGUAUUGGACACACGGAUAAUUACAAGUGACAAUCUUCCUGUAGAACUCAGAGAGGUCAGAGACUGCACAGGCAAAAGGCACUGCCCAACCCCAGAAAAGCCUCCUGCCAAAUUUCAAGUCCUUGCUCCAAAGGAUGGGGAAGCUAGAGUUUCUCAGUGGAAUAAUUCCCGGAAAUUUAUUUUUAACAGGAGCAAAAUAUAUUUUCCCCUAAGCUCACUGUGAGCAAGGGCUAUGCCAUUUCAGCUGAAUCUGCCCAUAGGCCAUAGCAGAAAUCCAGCAGCAUAGACAAUCUAAGCCCAUACAAUUUUAAAGUUUGUCAAAGUUCUAAGCAACUGAAAAUAUGGGUCUUAUAAUGGGAAGUGUUGGGCAACCUUAAAGAUAGGAGCGGUUGUGCUCCCACAGCUAGGGUUGUCAGUAUCUUCUCAAUUUGUUUCCCGGACAGAACCCUCAAAUACCGGACUGCCUGAUUCAAAACCAGACACCUGGCAACCCUACCCACAGCUAAGUAGGGUCAAGACUAAUUAGUACUUGGAUGGCAAACAUCAAAGAAACAAACCAGGAAGCUCCAGGAAGUACCGCUGAUGGUUUAAGAACCUGCACUGUAUUCUGUUAGCACCGAAGCAAUGCUCUGGGGUAGUGUUAAAUCUCAGAGAAGACAAAACCUGAGCAUAACACUUAUCAUCAUCUGACAAUGUGGAAGAAAAAUUUCAAGAGCUUUACUUACUUCGGAUGUGUGAAUUCAUCAAUGAGGACAACCUUUUCUACCACGUCUCCUCCGAUGGUUCGGAC